GGCCUUUAUAAUGUUUUGUUCCGGCCUUGACGAAGUCAACAUGUACCGCACUAAUGGAAAAGAAGUUUAUAAUGCAAAGUGUGGGACAGUGACUCUGUAUAUGUCACAGUUGGAUGGCGGAAAAUGCAAAAUAUAUAUUAUGAGGGUUAAGUUGAAGGGUGUUGUUUCCGUAAGCUGUAACGUUCUGUAAAUUGUCUAGCACCGAUGCGAUGUGAUGGUAGAAUAAAACCGACAUAUCAUUUUGAAGCAAAGUGCAAGAGGGUGAUUUACGGAUCAUGGCAUAUUGCUUUUUUUUAACAUUCAAUUUGUGUGUUGGUACGAGCAUGAAACUGUUGAACAGUUUAAGUUUGUAUUAUGGUUGAGAGAAUUUAAAAACUAAUUAAAAGGAUGUUAAAAAACAAGGAUCAGCAAAGGAUUGAGAAUAACUUUUUUUAAGGUCGCUGAUGCAGUUGAUGAAGUUCGGACGUAAAUGAAGCUUGAAGACGAAUCUCUGAAUUCUUCACAUCCUUUUCGAACAAAAAUGAUUGCGAACAAUUAACAUUGGAGUUUUUUUGUUGUUCAUUUUUUCAUUGCAUAUGUUUUUGUGAUUUUUUUUUUUUUUCUUUGUUUUGGUAUUUUUGGAACUUCCUACCUAUCGAACUGAGUAGAUGUAGAGAAGAAAAACUAUUUAAAAUUAAGUUUUUACUAUAUUUAAUCAAUGAUCAUACGUAUCUUAAUCUUUUGAAUUAUUCUUAAAAGACAUUUCAUUUAGGUUUAUAACACAAAAAUUAUUAAAAAACAACGGCAACACUUACAGUUAUGUAUGAUACCUUUUUCAAAAGCCGGAAUUGUUCACAUUUUCAAUUCUGUCCAAUAAAUAAAAUUAAAUUUAAACAUAAUUGAGAAUACACACUAUAUAAUUUAUUAUUU
Long non-coding RNA from Episyrphus balteatus (marmalade hoverfly), 909 nucleotides. RefSeq lists it as uncharacterized. The transcript has 3 exons. NCBI's taxonomy places the organism in Eukaryota, Metazoa, Arthropoda, Insecta, Diptera, Syrphidae. The record is from RefSeq and is a predicted model, not a curated record.